GACGUAGGGGGCUAGCGUUGUCCGGAAUCAUUGGGCGUAAAGAGCGUGUAGGCGGUCCGGUAAGUCCGCUGUGAAAGUCGGGGGCUCAACCCUCGAAUGCCGGUGGAUACUGUCGGGCUUGAGUGCGGAAGAGGCGAGUGGAAUUCCUGGUGUAGCGGUGAAAUGCGCAGAUAUCAGGAGGAACACCUAUUGUGAAGGCAGCUCGCUGGGACGUAACUGACGCUGAGACGCGAAAGCGUGGGGAGCAAACAGG
This 253-nucleotide ribosomal RNA is filed under the name uncultured bacterium. Its description in RNAcentral is "partial 16S ribosomal RNA". It matches the Rfam family "Bacterial small subunit ribosomal RNA", at positions 524 to 776 of the family's 1533-position model. The record is from RNAcentral.